AGCGUAAUAGCUCACUAGUCGAGUCGUCCUGCGCGGAAGAUGUAACGGGGCUCAAGCCAUGAACCGAAGCUGCGGAUGUGUCUUUGACACGUGGUAGGGGAGCGUUCCGUAAGCCUGCGAAGGUGUCUCGUAAGGGAUGCUGGAGGUAUCGGAAGUGCGAAUGCUGACAUGAGUAGCGAUAAAGGGUGUGAAAAGCACCCUCGCCGUAAGCCCAAGGUUUCCUGCGCAACGUUCAUCGGCGCAGGGUGAGUCGGCCCCUAAGGCGAGGCAGAAAUGCGUAGUCGAUGGGAAACAGGUCAAUAUUCCUGUACCGCUCUUAGAUGCGAUGGGGGGACGGAGAAGGUUAGCUCGGCCAUCUGUUGGAAUAGGUGGUUUAAGCGUGUAGUCGUGCCGCGUAGGCAAAUCCGCGUGGCUUAGAUGAGGCGUGAUGACGAGGAUCCUCGGAUCCGAAGCGAGUGAUACCCAGCUUCCAGGAAAAGCCUCUAAGCUUCAGUCUAAGAGUGACCGUACCGCAAACCGACACAGGUGGGCUGGUAGAGAAUACCAAGGCGCUUGAGAGAACUCAGGAGAAGGAACUCGGCAAAUUGAUACCGUAACUUCGGGAGAAGGUAUGCCCCUGGUACGUGAAGGCCCUCGCGGCCGGAGCGGAACGGGGUCGCAGAGAAUCGGUGGCUGCGACUGUUUAUUAAAAACACAGCACUCUGCAAACACGAAAGUGGACGUAUAGGGUGUGACGCCUGCCCGGUGCCGGAAGGUUAAGUGAUGGGGUGCAAGCUCUUGAUCGAAGCCCCGGUAAACGGCGGCCGUAACUAUAACGGUCCUAAGGUAGCGAAAUUCCUUGUCGGGUAAGUUCCGACCUGCACGAAUGGCGUAACGAUGGCCACACUGUCUCCUCCUGAGACUCAGCGAAGUUGAAAUGUUUGUGAAGAUGCAAUCUCCCCGCGGCUAGACGGAAAGACCCCAUGAACCUUUACUGUAGCUUUGCAUUGGACUUUGACGGGACUUGUGUAGGAUAGGUGGGAGGCUUUGAAACCGGGACGCCAGUUCCGGUGGAGCCAACCUUGAAAUACCACCCUGGUGUCGUCGAGGUUCUAACCCAGGCCUGUGAAUCCAGGUCGGGGACCGUGCAUGGUGGGCAGUUUGACUGGGGCGGUCUCCUCCCAAAAGGUAACGGAGGAGUACGAAGGUC
RNAcentral lists this ribosomal RNA (1189 nucleotides) under bioreactor sludge metagenome. RNAcentral's name for it is "bacterial LSU rRNA". It matches the Rfam family "Bacterial large subunit ribosomal RNA", at positions 1131 to 2318 of the family's 2925-position model. The record is from RNAcentral.